GCCAGGUGUGGUGGCGCAUGCCUGUAAUCCCAGCUACUCAGGAGGCUGAGGCAGGAGAAUCGCUUGAGCCCGGGAGGCAGAGGUUGCGGUGAGCUGAGAGUGCGCCACUGCACUCCAGCCUGGGCGACAGAGUGAAACUCUGUCUCGG
Papio anubis (olive baboon) is the source of this 148-nucleotide unclassified non-coding RNA. It matches the Rfam family "Metazoan signal recognition particle RNA". Rfam says of the family: The signal recognition particle (SRP) is a universally conserved ribonucleoprotein. The record is from Ensembl. Lineage: Eukaryota; Metazoa; Chordata; Mammalia; Primates; Cercopithecidae.